UGACGUGUGUGAUCAUACUGCUGGGUGCACAUAUUCAGAAGAGCUCUUUGCAAAACAAUGACGCAGCUUUGCACAUCGUCACAGAGAGACUGCAGCUCUUUGAAUACACACCCUUCUCUUUUCUCUGCGAGGGUCUUGGCUCUGCUCUGAGGGGGUUUCGGAACAACAAUGAGUUAAUUCAGGGUUGUUAUAAUAUUGAUUCAUCAACACUGAACUGCACCAUUCAACAGGCCUAUGAUUCAGACAGCGGGGUUUACUGGUGUGAGGAUGAGAAAGGAGAGAAGAGCAACUCAUCAAGAUCACCGUCACCGGAGGCUCUGUGAUCCUGGAGAGUCCUGUGCUUCCUGUGAUGGAGGGAGAAUCUGUUACUCUGAGCUGCAGGAAAAAGAAGACCACUUCCUCCAUCCUCUCAGCUGACUUCUAUAAAGAUGGCCGCCUCAUCAGGAGCAGCUCUACAGGAAUCAUAACAUUCGAAAAUCU
Long non-coding RNA from Notothenia coriiceps (black rockcod), 480 nucleotides. RefSeq lists it as uncharacterized. The record is from RefSeq and is a predicted model, not a curated record. The transcript has 3 exons. Lineage: Eukaryota; Metazoa; Chordata; Actinopteri; Perciformes; Nototheniidae.